GCUGGCACAGUGAUGAGAGCAAGAGGAGGAGGAAAAUGGGAAAGGAGGAAGGUGGGUGGACGGAAGAAACUACAGGGUGAGAGGGAGGAACCGCGAGGGUUAAGUAGAGAGGGGGUUGCUGCUACUCACGGAGCAAAGUAGAAGGGGGUAGGAGGGAAAUGGAUCGGAUUGCGUGGUCGGCACGAGUCUGGUUAGUAUGAGUGCAACAGAAUAAAAGAGAAUAAAAGUAAGAGAGCAAGAGAUAGAUAUGCGGUUAGAAAUGGAAGCGUAUAUGUAGGUGAAAAAAAGUAGCUGAGAGUAUAAAAAGGAUUGCAUCAGUGAACGAGAAAAUUCGAGCACACAGGCACAUAGGAGAAAAAGAGAGAGAACGCGCGCGCGACGUGUCGUGCAUCACGCCGUAUUACUUCCGUUUCGUGCACAUAGUACAUCAUACGUAUACGCCAUGAGAAAAAAAGUACCGCGGACGAAAAGAUAAAAAGAGAAAAAAAA
Apis florea (little honeybee) is the source of this 489-nucleotide long non-coding RNA. The record is from RefSeq and is a predicted model, not a curated record. Lineage: Eukaryota; Metazoa; Arthropoda; Insecta; Hymenoptera; Apidae.